UCCCAUCUUUUUUGACUUAGGACUAAGGCAUAAAAAGCAUCAAGAAAUAUGUCUCUUGCUCAACUAUCAUUCAAAGAAGAGUAAUUUUAGAUUAACAAUGGUUAGAAUAUGCAAAUGAGACUUCAUCUUUGAACAAACUCCAUUCUCCUACAGUCUCCAUCUCACUAAUGUUUUUCAUCUUUCUGUUUCUUCUUUGGGCCCUCUGUUCCAUCUGCCUGGGCCACCACUGCAUGCAUACAAGCCUCCUGUGCUCCGCCCAUGCCAAACCCAGAUGGCCUCAGCCAUCAUCCAUGGUUCUGGGCACAUAACCUCGUUCCUUCAUGCCAGGGGUGUCACAGAUGUCCCCAGCCUCUUUCCUAAGUGGUUGCGCUAGAUGCUAGCCUCCUUUCGAAGUAGAUAGGUUGAACCCAAUCAAAGCUGAUGAGGAC
RNAcentral lists this long non-coding RNA (428 nucleotides) under Spirodela polyrhiza (greater duckweed). Its description in RNAcentral is "long non-coding RNA (SPOL_LNC002058)". The record is from RNAcentral. Lineage: Eukaryota; Viridiplantae; Streptophyta; Magnoliopsida; Alismatales; Araceae.